UACGAAGGGGGCUAGCGUUGCUCGGAAUUACUGGGCGUAAAGGGCGCGUAGGCGGACAGUUUAGUCAGAGGUGAAAGCCCAGGGCUCAACCUUGGAAUUGCCUUUGAUACUGGCUGUCUUGAGUUCGGGAGAGGUGAGUGGAAUGCCGAGUGUAGAGGUGAAAUUCGUAGAUAUCGGGAGGAACACCAGUGGCGAAGGCGGCGACCUGGGCCAAUAUUGACGCUGAGGUGCGAAAGCGUGGGGAGCAAACAGG
RNAcentral lists this ribosomal RNA (253 nucleotides) under uncultured bacterium. Its description in RNAcentral is "partial 16S ribosomal RNA". It matches the Rfam family "Bacterial small subunit ribosomal RNA", at positions 524 to 776 of the family's 1533-position model. The record is from RNAcentral.